Mangifera indica (mango) is the source of this 761-nucleotide long non-coding RNA. RefSeq lists it as uncharacterized. The record is from RefSeq and is a predicted model, not a curated record. NCBI's taxonomy places the organism in Eukaryota, Viridiplantae, Streptophyta, Magnoliopsida, Sapindales, Anacardiaceae. The transcript has 3 exons.
GGUUGGUUCUCCAUAAGUGCUAAGAAUAUUUUUCCUAGCAAAAAUUCCAAGAACAUGAACUUCAUGCAUAAGAGAGGAAGCUAGAAGCAUUUUUUCCAUAUGUGCUUUUGUGAUUCAUUCAUCUCCAAGCUCGAUGAUUCUACACAAAGCAAGUUUCAACUUUUCCAAAAGCUCUCUCUCUCUCGUGUGAAAAAAAGGCACCAAAAUGCAAUCUUCAUAUUCGAUUCCUUUUCACACAUAAUUAUUAGCCAUGGGGUUUCUGCAAAUAAACCCUUCUCACUAUUUCCAUAAACCAAAUCAUGCAAGAAGAAGAAGAAGAAGACACCUCUCUCUUCUUUCUCUUUCGCCCUCUAUAUCUUAAAGGUGAAAAACAUGGACUCUUCUUCGCAGUUUCUUUUCCUUGUAGGCUCAAUUUUCUUGAUGUUGAUUUCAACAUUAAAUUUCCCAGAAAUUAUUGCAGCAGAAAUUCAGGCUUCUGCCGUUACCUCUUCUCUCCCAGGUAAUCAUGGCAAAUGACCCAGGCCGGCCUGCAGCCCAACUUGAAGCACGGGAAAAUAACUUAGCCCAAAAAACCUCAGCCCGAUACUGUAAUACAAACCUCAGCCUGAUACUGUAAUACACUGAGUCAAACCCUUGGGCCUAGACAUUAGGCCUAUGGGCUGGCCCAACCCAGCCACUACUGUUUAUAUAAUUAUUUAAAAAAUAAUUAAUUAAUUUACUAAUAUUUAUAAUAUAAAAAAUUAUUUUUUAUUAAAUUUAAC